Clupea harengus (Atlantic herring) is the source of this 1405-nucleotide long non-coding RNA. The record is from Ensembl. NCBI's taxonomy places the organism in Eukaryota, Metazoa, Chordata, Actinopteri, Clupeiformes, Clupeidae.
CUAGUACAGGAGAGACUUUUCAAUAAUUAAAAAGCAGAGGUGUAUAUAUCGGUAUCGGCAUCGGCAAUCGGCCAAAAUGAGCUUGUAAAUAUCGGCAUAUCGGAUAUCGGCUAGAAUUCAAUAUCGUGCAUCCCUACUUUGACAUAUGACAAUAGACAUAUGGAAAUGCACUGAGUAGAUCAAAUUCGUUUUUUUUUUUUUUUUUAAGUAAGCAUAGAAUGCACAGGAAUCUUUCAGCUGAGAUUUGAUCCCUGGCCGAAGGAAUAUAAAUCCUUUUUUUCACCAAUAUAGUUUUAAUUAGAAACGGUCCGAUUCUCUGAUUUAAUUGUGUAAUAAUCAGUCUAAUUUGACAGUGAAUCCCUAGCUCCGUCUGUGGUUUAAUAUGUUAUGGAAACACUUGCCCAUGCUUGUAUCACUACUCCUCUGGAUUACUGUAAGUGUAAAUAAGAGAAAUACUAACAGAGAAGUUUGUAUUGUGGAUGAAGGCUGAAACAGCACAGUUCGUCGAGGUCACAUGACCAUUUUAGUCAGACAGUUCUGCAUUGGUGGUUCAGUGGUAGAAUUCUCGCCUGCCACGCGGGAGGCCCGGGUUCGAUUCCCGGCCAAUGCAAUCCAAAUCUUUUAUCUAGAUUAUUAUCUAGUUUUAUGGUAAGCAAGCUGAAGAUUAGUGCAGUUGUCGUGUACUGAUCACUUUGACAUAUGACAAUAGACAUAUGGAAAUGCACAGAGUAGAUCAAAUUCUUUUUUUUUUUUUUUUAAGUAAGCAUAGAAUGCACAGGAAUCUUUCAGCUGAGAUUUGAUUCUUGGCCGAAGGAAUGUAAAUCCUUUUUUUCACCAAUAUAGUUUUAAUUAGAAGCGGUCUGAUUUAAUUGUGUAAUAAUCAAUCUAAUUUGACAGUGAAUCUCCGUCUGUGGUUCAGUAUGUUAUGGAAACACUUGAUUUAUUCCACACUCGAUUACAAUUACUUCAACUCCGGUUUCUUCUGUUGACCAGGCAUUCACGUUGGCCGUCAGUUGCACCUGGACAAGAUACAUUUCAAGUGGCCCCCUCUCCACCGAAGCUUUGUGGUUGUUCGCAUCGGUGUCUCCUUCGUCCUGGUGUUGGUGCCUUGCGGAGCGGGGACUGGCUCUAAAGUUCUCCUGGUGGUGGCCUCUCCUUGCCGGCAGACAGGCGUCUCCGGGUCCUGGGGCGGCUCCAGUGCAGCAGCCAUCCCACCGUCUUCUCACUGCGCCGACCACUGGGUGCCCACUCCAUCCACUGCUGCUGACUGUCACUCCUGGGCUAGGGGUGUGGAGAAGUGUCAUAGCAGGUGCCUUGGAGUGAUGCUUUUUAGAUGCUCCCCCAGCUCCAGCUAUUUUGGCCGCCCUCCCCAUACCUGAGCGUGGUCAUCUUUACAGCAACCGAC